GUGCUUGCUUUGGCAGCAUGUUUACUGAAAAAAAAAUGGAAUGAUACAGAGAUAAGCAUUGCCCAUGUGCAAGGAUGACAUGCAAAUUUGUGAAGCAUUCCAUAUUUGC
This is a small nuclear RNA of Gorilla gorilla gorilla (western lowland gorilla), 109 nucleotides long. Lineage: Eukaryota; Metazoa; Chordata; Mammalia; Primates; Hominidae. The record is from Ensembl.